RNAcentral lists this long non-coding RNA (1485 nucleotides) under Cricetulus griseus (Chinese hamster). Its description in RNAcentral is "lncRNA (ENSCGRG00015030092.1)". The record is from RNAcentral. Lineage: Eukaryota; Metazoa; Chordata; Mammalia; Rodentia; Cricetidae.
UUCUGAACAACAUGGCAACAAGCUAGAAGCAGUGAAUGGUGACAUUAAAGCAGAGAGGCUGUAAGAAAAAGCUUUUACCAAAGCCCAAGGGGAAGCUGGCCAUGGGUGAAGGUGUCAUACUGGAGGAGUGGAGAGACUGAUGGCCAUCUUGCUGACCUGGGAGGCCACAAAGUUGGGAGAUAUAGAAAUAAUGAGAGUGAAUUCUGGGAAUAUUAUUGAACACACAGAUGGAGCCAAGCCUGAUGCCCACUGUGAGCCAAUCACAACCCUGUUUUCCUAAACACACAUUUGAAUUGGGCAUCCCAUUACUUACUGUGAAAGGAGUUCUAACCCAUUCAUACAAUCUAUCCCAAAAGGUGAACCUUGUCCUUGAAUAAUCAAAUUGUAGGCCUCCACUCAUUCCAAACCAGACAAGGGGGACAUCACCAACCCAAAGCAAAGGAACUUGGAAACACACACAAAGGGGGGGGGCGCAAUUGAAAACAGAUGGAGGUUGGCUGCAGGGAGAUGGGGUGGUCUUUUACUAUAGAGAUCCCACCGCACAUGCCACUGAAUGAAGGAACUUUAGGAUAGAUUUGAACUCAGUCUAAGGAAAAGCUAUCCACUUCAAGCUGUGAAGAGAGAAUGGACUGCUUCCCAUAGAAGCAAUAAGGAAAAAACUGCCCCCCCAUGGUGUCACAGGGGAAAUUAACUAGAAGCACUCUCCAUUCCUGGCCCCCCUAAGUUAUGACCCCCAGGAUGAAGAUGUGGGAGUUUAAACCAAGUCGUUCUCAUUUGUGGCUCAGGUUUUCUAACACAGGGAUUACGUUUGUGAGGGUGAAGUUGCUAUGGAGAUGAUUUUCAAUCAUAGCUUCCAUGCUGAAAGCAAUGAAACCAUGAAACUAUCAUCGGAAUAUGAGCCCUACUCCCACCUGGAGCCGUGCCUACUUCUCCUGUUACCCACCACCUGUGUGAGCCCUGGGGGUUCCUCAGAUGCAGCUUAGCUGCUGAAGGUCCAGCACCUUGGGCCAGAAAGAGUAGGAAGCAGAUGCUUCCCUCUGUGAGUCCAUGGAAUACCCAUGAGACCAUCAGGAAACCCUAGUCCAGCAUGGAAGCUUCGUUUUUGCUCCCAGGUCUCUCUCUUCACAGUCUUCACCCUAGAGCCUCCAUUCAUUACUGAAGUGGAAGUUGAGUCUUUCACUUCUCUGUGUUAUGAACAAAAAUUCUUAAUGAAUUUCUUAGAGUUUUUGGUCAUAUUUUAGCAAAACUAAAAGUUAACAUUGUGCCAUACAUUCUUUUUUUUUAUUUCGAGAUAGGGUUUUUCUGUGGCUUUGGAGGCUCUUCUGGAACUAGCUCUUGUAGACCAGGCUCACACUCACAGAGAUCUGCCUGCCUGUGCCUCCUGAGUGCUGGGAUUAAAGGCAUGCGCCACCAACGACUGGCUCAUGCCAUACAUUCUUAUCUGGGACAUAAUUUUGAAGAUGAUGGGGCUGGAGACAUGGCUCC